CCGCCAGGAAGGAUUCAGUGGGCUUUGUGUAAGGGGAUUAAAGCUUUAGCCUGCUCAGCAGGGAGAAAGCCUCUGUGAUGGAGUUCUGUGGCUGUGUGGCCAUGCUUCCAUGUGUCCACGUGGUCAUGUGGGCAGCCGUACGCCCUGAUUCAAAGGCGGCAGGGGUUGUGGCUGGAAAUAGGAGCCGCUGGGGACAGCCUCCCUAGAGAGGUGGGUAUGUGUGUGCCAUGUGCCUGUGUCCCCUCAGGGGCCCAAGGAGGAGUGCUUCUGAGGGAGGAGAGCAGAGGCCAGCAGGAAGAGAUGCCCUGAAGAGAUCUGAGCCCCGGUAGGAGGGACAGAGGGGUCUUACAGAGAUCCUAAAACCCAAGGAGGACCAGUUGUCACUCCCAUUUCCCUGACAGGAGCCUGAAGCUCAGAAACAGCAGGCAUCUUGUGCACUGUCACAAAGCAAGUCAGCAGCAGAGCUGAAACCAGAAACCAGCCUCCUGGUCCAGGGCUCAGUCACUGCUCUAGCCAAGUCUGGCUAGCCGCAGGGGCCCUGUCAGUCCACUCUCUGUAACGCCUCUUCUUCUUGUCCCAACCCCGGAAGAGGGACCUGAUGAGGGGGGAGGCUGGGGUGAGAAUCUUCCCAAGAGCCUUUUGCAUCUGGACAGGGAUGGUGGGCACGUGGGGGUAGUUAUCAGAUCCCAAAUGGGGGAUUCUGACAGGUCAUGGGGCAUGUGUCACAAUAGGCCAUCAAGACUGUCGACAGGAAUCUGUGUGAGGGCCUUUUUCUUUUCUUUUUAAAUACUUAUUUAUUUUGAGAGACAGAGAGUGAGCGAGCUGGGGAGAGAGGCAGAGAGACAGAAUCCUGAGCAGGCUCCAUGCUGUCAGUGCAGUAUCCAACACAGGGAUCGAUCCCACAAAACCUGAGCUGAAAUCGAGAGUCAAACGCUUAACCAACUGAACCACCCAGGAGCCCCUAAUGAGGAUCUUUUUCUACAGAAGAAGUGGGGUGACUUUUAAUGCUCUCGAGAGAGCCACCUGGAAUGGGGGGGUAGUCUGGGUCUGCGUGGAGUACAGUUGGCCCUGGAGCAGUUCGGGAUGUGUGUCCAAACCCUGUGCCAAAGAAGACCACAGACAGAAGGGACAAGAGCCUUGGAGCCCAGCUAGUGGCGUUUUGAGCCCUGGGGUGGAAGCGGGUCUCAGUGGGACAGAGGGCCUUCCCCUGUCUUCUCAGAAUGCAGCACGGCUUUUGCACAAUGGAGAUGUGAUUUAGGGAAGAGAAACUUGGCAUACGGUGGGAAGCAGUCAUUUGGGUAGAGGACAUCCUAAGGGGGCUGGAGGAGAGGAAGAAUGUGCGGAUAGUGGCUAACAACACGCCGAUUUGCCAGCUCAUGUGAAACACACACAGGAAAGUACCUCCACUGUCACUGUCGAAGCCAGGUGAGCUCAUUCUCCUAGCCUGUGGGGCCCAGGCUGGGUGCUGGGCAGACACACCCCUAAGCUGUCAGAAGAAGGAAGACAGCAAUGCUUCAUUCCCCAAAUGGAUUUGCUAAUGGGGGGGAGGUCAGGGGAGACAUUUUGACUCCUGAACUUGGAGUCAGAGAGCCAGAGUCUGAUCCUUGGGCUUUACUCGUGAGCUCUAUGACAUGGUCAAGUGGGAAUGAGUGUCCUCUGAGACAGGAUGGCUGAGAAAUGAGAACUUUGAGAGGCGUUGUCUACUUGAGGGACACUUGCUGGGACUAGGCCACUCAGAAGGCUGUCCCUGGUACGUCCCUUGGAGGCCUUGGGCCAACCAGGUCGGUGUCAGUGGUGUGGGAGUGGUGAAGGCGGAGACAGGACCCAGGGCUCUGCCUCUGCAUGGGAGAAACGCCCCCCCCCCACUGCCCUGUCCCCUGGGAUAAGUCUUGCAGGUCAGCUGGCUCCCCACCCCGUUUACUUCCUCCUCCUUCUGACAGGGGCCCCAAGCCAGAGGCGUGGCCAGGCACAAGGAGAAAAGCUGGGGAGAGGGGGAGGAAAGGGUGGGGACAGACCAGCCCCUACCCCACUGCCCUCUCCACCCCUAGCCUGGCCUGCACUGGCCAGGGCUGCCUGAGUCUCCUUACUGGCCUUGGGCUCAGAACCUUGGAGCCAGAGCUUAGAGCCGGGCUCCCUGUCUCUGUGUGGCCGGUGUGGGUAAGGUCUCCUCAUCUAUAAAUGGUAUGUGGCAGGGGAGGUCUGACCCAAAACACCCACAGUAGGGCCCUCCUGAUAGAGUCCCGGGGUGGCCCCCUUUCUUCCCCCUUCUUGUGCCACGUUCUAGGUCACACUCUCAGCACUUGAGAAAAGCCUGAGAAAGCAGGGGAUGUGCUGCGUCCAUUGUUCAGAUGCAGAAGGUGAGGCUUGGUGCCCCACCUAGUGAGUCAGCAGAGGCGAAGACCGAGCGCCAUCUCCUGGUGUCCAGCCGGGUACUCUCCCCUGCCCCUCUGCAAUUAGCAGGAGACAGAGCUGCCUUCCCCACCCCCCUCAGGGCCCCAGGUCGUCCAGUCCAGACAGGCUCGGCAGGAAUCUGCUCUGGUCAGAACUGCCUUCUGUGGAGCUGCCUCAGGCUGGGCCCCAGGCCCCAAGGUCCUGGGGACAUUGCUUUCUGUUUACUUUCUGCCUGGCUUCUGCACGCAUUGUGGUUUCCACUUGGAAGUUCUGUGGUGGGAACUGUGGGGCCUGUUCUGGGGGCUGAGCUGCAUCUGUGGGAAAGUUUGGGCUCUGCUGACAGCCUACAGCCGCCGCCAAGACCCUAGUCCCUGGAUUCCCACGGCGUGGGCCGUGGGCUCAGCUCCUCCAGUCACUGUCUCUACCUGGGCUUGUUUAGUGUGAGCAGACGGCCAGAUCCUCCAGCAAGGGAGCCAGAGGGAUCUUCUAGUUCACAGAUGGGGAAAUUAAGGGCAAAGACAGGCGGGAACUUGUCCACGGCCCCUCCUUGCCUACAGCAGGGCUGGGACUGAAAUGAAACAGCCUGAUUCUCAAUUCAGGGAGCUGUCCAUGGGGCUUGAGAUCCCCUCAUUCCUCUUGGCUUCACUGGGGAGGGGUGGACACGCAGGGGUGCCUGAAGCCCUGAGUUUCCCAUGACUUGCUCUGAAAGGGGCCUGGCCCACUUUCCCAACUGUGCCCUGGCCUAGGCCCAGGCUCUGGGCAGAAGGGAGUUGGGAGGGAGCCACCCCCUGCUCUUGAUCUCCCUUGGGUCCCCUUGGUGGACUGGCUGCGGGGGAGCCCAGCUAGUCCCUGAGAACUUGACCCGCAACUGGAGGGCUACAGCAUUCCUCCCCAGCAGGCGGGCUCCGCUGUGCUCGGGUCUGGGAACCAGCCCUCAAAUUUGAGUUCCAGCUCCUCUCUCUCCCCUACCUCCUGGCCCAGCAACUCUGGGCAGCCCAUCCCAGCUCCCUGUGCUUAGGACUCAGGACAAUCCCCACCUUCCAGAGGAUAAUGUGAGCAGCAUGUGUGAGCUGCAGAAUGCUCAGCGCACACAUGGGAGCUGAGGCCAAUGGCCAAUGAGAGAGCCCAGCUGGGAAGAGGCUGAGUCUGGCUUUGACAGGCCUGCUUCAGGCCCCAGGGAAUGUGGUGACAGUGCGGAGCCUUCCCUGGAGAAUCCUUGCCCUCUCUAGGGAGUGUUGAGACACUGUGUUGGGGGAGGGGGCCCCAGCCUGCAGGGCUGGGAUGCCGGCUGCCUAGCUGGGCCGAGGUCUCUGUGAGGGGAGCUGAUAAUUGAGCCAUCUCUCAGGGAGCCGACCCUGAUUUUUAUUAAUCUGCAGGACAAAGGAAGCGGCGCUGUCCUGCUGAGGAGACUGAGAGAAGGAGAGGAGAUGAAGGGGAAGUCGUUUAUCUUCCCAGCCUCUCCUGCUCGGGGAUUUUUUGGUGUGUGAGGAGGAAGAGGAAACCAACACAGCACUCUGGAGGAGGAGGCCUCUGCUGCUCCUGUCCCUGGCUGGGCUCUGCUCUUCGUCCCGGCCGCCUGUCUCUUUAAUCCAUUUAACACCUCCUCAUCGCUCAGGCCCCCAGGGCCUCCUUGACAACUGAGAAACUCCCGGGGCCCCAGUCACAGGAACCCCUGGACUUGCCGCUCCUGGUGCUGGCGGGGCUGUUCCCCAGGAGGGGACAGACUUCAAGGUCGGGCUGACGCCGGCUGACCUUGAAAGCUUCCCCGGCCUCCCCUGACGUGUCUCCGCUCUCCAAGCUCAGUGAGCUCCAUCACAUUAAAAAGCUGUUAAAAGCGCCAUCUGGUUCACUGCCUCCAAGGCUCUGCGAUCGAUGGCCGCUGGGGCGAGCUCGGUUCAGGGACGGGCCUCUGCAAGGGUCCACCCUGGGGACCCAGGCCCGAGGGUCUGCCUGACCGCCCACUCAAACUCAAGGAAGGGCAGUGAGAGGGGGACCAAACAUUCAGGGUAGGGAGGGUGCUGCACAGGGGGUGAAAGGCGCCCCCUGGAGUUAUGCUGUGGUUAGGGUUAAUACCCUGUGUUAAAUGCUUUAGGUAAAUGAACUCAUUUGAUCUUCACAGCAACACUGAGAAGUAGGGCUAUUAUUAACCCCAUUUUGCAGCUGGAAAAUGGGAGGCACAGAGAGGUUGAAUAACUUACUCCAGGCCACAGAGCUGGUAAGUGGCAGGACUAGGGUGGAACCCUGAGAUUCUGGUUCCAGAACUCCCCACAGCGUCUGGUGCUGGGGGGCUGCUCCCUGGGAGGAAACAAGGCUUUCCCUCACAACCUCACAGCAGUCCUGAGAGAGAAGUCUAAUCAUGCUGAAGUCACAAAUAAAAGAACGGGGUCGAAGGGUGCCUCAGGAACAUUAAGCUACUGCUCCAGGGUCACACAGCUAGUAGGCAGAUGAGGAGACACUCAGCUCCAGAAGCCACUGGCUUCAACUUCACCUGCAGGGCUUUUUAAUGUCCACCCUCCUACUCUGCCCCCAGUAUAUGGCCAGGGCUGCAUGUGGCGACCUCUUCUCGGCUGUGCUUGCCCCACACUUAUAGACACAGAAAGCUUCUGUCUGGAGAUUGCCAGAGUAGCCUGAACUGGACGUCAGAACUGCGUGGCUUUGGCCUUGAGUUGCCAGGUGGCCACAGAUAAGCCCUUUCCCUCCCUGGGCCCGCAUUUCCUCAGGCAAGGUGUCUGGGAGCUGGUGGGUUAGAUAGGUGGGAUCGUCAGAAGCUGGUGGUGAGGGGCUAUGGUAAGUGGGCACGGUGCCAGGGCCCUUUCUUAAGUUCUAAACCAACCUGGCUACAGGUUUCCACAGAAGGCUCCAUGGACCUCCAGAGCCUUUUGUCUGCCUGCUAGUGGUUUUUAAUGCCCUUGUGAGUUCUGGCAGCUUCAAAGCCCUCAGACUUGCAGCCAAUCCCUCCUAGGCUGUCACCCCAAGCUGCCCUGGUCUCCCUGGGGACACAUCCUAAGCAGAGCAGGGGGCAGGGGCGGCAAGGGGAGGGAUUCCCCAGGGGAGAUGAGAAGUCAUGUCGCACAGCUGACUUUGCUGGAUGUCCCCACUCCCACCCUGGUCCCAACCCGCAUGUGGCUGUGAUGAGCCCACAACUUAUUUGUGGGAUCUUCGUAUUAACCCAUAAAGGUCCACCUUCCAGAGGUGCCUGGGUAGCUCAGUCAGGUAAGUGUCCGACUUUGGCUUAGGUCAUGAUCUCACAGUUUGUGAGUUUGAGCCCUGCAUCAGGCUGUCUGCUAUCAGCAUAAAGCCUGCUUCAGGGCCUCUGUCCCCUCUUCUCUCUGCCCCUCCCCUGCAUGUGUGUGUGCACUCUCGUUCUCUCUAAAAAAUAAAUAAACAUUAAAAAAAAAGGUCCACCUUGCAAUGACAAAUUUAAUGUCAAGGUCUACGUGAUGUGUUCCUCUCUCUCCAUCACCUUUCCCACCUCAUCGCCUCCCACUCUUCCUCUGCUCCCUCUGCUCCCUCUGCUCUACAGCCUCUCUGCUAUACUCAAACAUACCACAUCCACUGUGACCUCAGGGCCUUUGCACUGGCAACACUUCCAUACCGUGUUCCUUUCUCAGAGUCUACAUGGUUGGUAAACUUCAAGUCUCCUCCAAGUCUCUGCUCUUGAUUUCUACUUUCCCACCAAGGCCUGCACUGACCACUCAACUUCAGACUGACUCCUCCCGGCCCUCCCCAUCCUCCUAACCCUGCUCCAUUGCACUCCAUGGAUUUAUCAACUUUUGGAACUUUGUAAUUGACUUUUUGAUUUGCUUUCUCCUUCUCCCCCAUUAGAAUAUAAGCUCUAGGAGAGCAGGGAGUUUUGUUUUGUUCAAUAUCAAAUCCCUCCUCAGCACUUAGAGUAGUACUUAAAAACAGUGUAGGUGCUCAACAAAUAUCUGUGGAAUAAAUGAAUGGAUGAACGAAUGAAUGAAUUUCAGUGUAUCUCAAGGAAUAACCAUAACAUUUAUUUGUUUAGGGACUAGGAAUGAAGCCUUGGAAGAUACAGGUUGGAGCCUCACCUCUGCCCUACCUUUGGUGUGUGACCUUGAACAGGUCACUCCAUGCCCUGCCCCCUCACAGGACUGCAGCUCCUGAAUAGAUGGCCUCCAGAAAAGGGCUUGCAGUUGGCAUACCUACAGGACUGCUCUCUGCCCCACGUGGCGCCCCCAUACCCUGGCUUUGUGAUCUCAACACUUGACAGAGUCACCCAACUUCUCUGGGGUUCACUUUCUCCAUCUCUAAAAUGGAGGACAAUGCAGAUCAAGCCCAGUGAGCAGGUGGCACUGUGCCUAGGACUUGGUGAACCCGCUGCAAAGGUUCACUCCAUUCAGACGCCGCCAGAUGUCAAUGGCAAGGAAUGGCCUUCACCACUUAGCUUCCAACGGUCAGACUGUCCUUGGCCCUCUCUAAUGAAGGAGGGAGGUGUCACCAGAAGCAGAGGACAGCAGAGCUGGCAGGGACUGUGCAGGUUAGCAGAGUGGUUGCUGACCCCAGAGAGAGUCGGGAGCUCGUUCAAGGGUGUGCCUGCUGAGCCGCCCUUUACUGAGCACCUGCUAUGGAUCUGGCUAGUUCUAGAAGGUUUCAUCUCACUGUUCUCUGGGUGUCCCUGGGGGAUCCCUGGCAGGCAGGCCUCACUGUCCUGCCUGAAGCAUGUCCAAGGUCUCAGAAUAUAGGAGAUUUCAGGGCGCCUGGGUGGCUCAGUCUGUUGGGCGUCUGACUUUGGCUCAGGUCAUGAUCUUGUGGUUCGUGAGUUUGAGCCCCGCAUCGGGCUCUGUGCUGACAGCUCAGAGCCUGGAGCCUGCUUCAGAUUCUGUGUCUCCCUCUCUCUCUGCCCCUCCUCCUCUCGCACUCUGUCUCUCUCUCUUUCAAAAAUAAAUAAACAUUAAAAAAUUAAAACAAAAAAGAAUAUAGGAGAUUUCAGGGGUGUGUGCUCCCUCUUUCCACAUCUUCUCCCCAUCAGGUGAGGGUAUAUGUGUGGGCAGGAGGCAGACCUGGGGUGGAGAAUUAACCUCCUGGUUCUGAACAAUGUAAGGGCUAGAAGCCCCCUGAUGAGAGCUAGGGACCUUUUCCUUAAAGAGAAGCACAUGUCCACAUUCAGAGGCUGAAACCACUGUCCCUUAGGACCCCGUAAGGAGUCAGUCAGCAUCUGGCACUGCUGCCCUUGGGGCCAGGGCUGGCCUCAUCUCUGUUACUUGAUUUCCAGGCGUCCAUGCUCUUCAGCUGCACUAUCAGGUCUCCAGUGCCAGCAUCCACUGUGAACCCCGGGUGCUCACUGCCAUGAUCUCGUCGGCAGCUGGGCCCUAGAGGUGGCACACAGUUCCCUGGACACUUAUGACUGGGUUAGAGAUGGGAGAGCCUGGGGCCGAUGGUGCGAGCCAUCCCCAGCCCCACCUCUCUCAGGACCUUUCUGGGGCUCAGGCACAUGGGCCACUGAGAAAGACCCAGGCUGGUGUGGUGGGGAGGGACAAGACGUGCAGCGGGAAGUAGGAAGAAUGCCAGUCAAGAGAGUUCUCUAGCUCUGGUUCUUGCAAAAGCCUUGAAAGGAAGGCAGCGAAAGGGUAAUGCAUCCACUUCAUGGUGGAAGAAAUCGAGGCCCAGAGCAACCACAGAGCACACAGAUCAAGGAAGUGAGAACGAGGAUUUGAGUCUGCUAAUUGCCUCCAGAGGCCUCGUCUUGUCCCAAUGGAUGGAACAUUGUCGACUAUUUAAGUCAGCAUCGAGCAGCUACCAUCUACAGAAUCCUGUCAGACAACCAGGAGGGCACAGAGCCAUGGGGAACAUAGAACCACUGGAAGCAUCCAGAGCAGUAAUGAUAAUCAUAUAAUAACAAAGGAAUAAUAACAGCUAACAUUUUGGGAGCGCUUACUAGGAGACAGCAAUACGCUAGGCAAUUGUCAUGGAUUAUGUCCUUUAAGCUCUCAAACGCUUGGUUAUAGGUAGCAGUACACCCAUUAUUUUCGUUUGUUUUUAGUUCCCAGAAGUGGAUGUCCAUUUUUGAGAAUAGAAGCUCAGCAAAAUUAACUGGUUUGCCCUGAACAAAGGUGAUAUUUUGCUGAGGCUCCAUCCCUCACCACCUGGGCAUUGUCUGGGCCUGUGUCAAGCUGGGAAGGCGUCCCCUAGACCUGGCUCAAGUUGGCUGGGUUAGGGUGAGUAGACAGGCUGUGGGUAGGCACCACCCUAGACUGCUCUACAAGAAUUGUACUCUCUGUGCCUUCUCCGGGCCUCAGUUUCCCCAGCUUUGGAUCUUCUGACCUCUAAUGUCCUUGAGUCUGUGAUCUGAGCCAGAUGCUUGAGGCUGAGUGAAAGGCUUAUGGUCUCUGCAGGAGCAAAGAACGACUUGACAGAGAAGACUGCUGGGGGCCAGGGGGAUGACACAGGCAGGAACAAAUGAAAAUACCCCAGUGGGAGCACAGCCUUCCAAAGUGAGUCCCGGUGCCAGGGAGAGUCUUGGGGACAAGGGUCAGCCUUCCUCCCAGCCCUACCCUCAACCAACCCCCGGGGCAGCAGCACCCUCCCGGCCCCCCUCCCCUCGCAACAAAGGCCAGCAGAAUAUCUGAUCAAUCAAGACAGCAAAGAAAGCAAUGAUAGGAGAAGAAGGGCCGGCAUUGAGCCACAUCAACCCUCUUUGUGGGACUCAGUUUCCCCUUUGUGACUGGAGGGAGCUGGCUCUUCAGUUAUUCAGAGGAUUUUCUUCCCGGGCUGGCCCAGGAGCAGGAAAGGUGAGGGUGGUCCCGCCCUUCCCCACCCCGUCUGUGAUUACAGUCACCACUUCCCUCCCUCCCCUCUUCUCCUCUCCCUUUCCCCUCCCCUCCCACCCCUCCCACUCUUUCACAGCCCCCAGCGUGCUGUGCAGUUAUUAGUUUAGGUUCAUUUAGAAUCGGCUUAGCAACCCUACACCCCUGGAACCUGGAAGCUUAAAGCACAAGAUGUCUGGCAAAUGGAAAUUCAAUUGCUUUAAUAUAGAGACUAUUUUGCUGCAGUCGAACUGGAGCCUCUUAUUAAGAAUCUGAUGGAAUUUCUAAACAGGGAGAGAGGCCCCAAGGAGGGGGCAUCGCCCAUCACACACCAACAUUGCUCUUGACAUAUUUAUGGCUCCAAUAAAAUCUCCCAUCUGGUAUAUUUUAAAAUAAAAUUGAAAAUUUAUCACUU
This 9573-nucleotide long non-coding RNA is filed under the name Lynx pardinus (Iberian lynx). The record is from RNAcentral. Lineage: Eukaryota; Metazoa; Chordata; Mammalia; Carnivora; Felidae.